CGCGUAGGCGGCUUCUCGCGCGUGCGGUGAAAGCCCGGGGCUCAACUCCGGGUCGGCCGUGCGGACGGGGAGGCUGGAGUCUGGUAGAGGCCGAUGGAAUUCCGGGUGUAGCGGUGGAAUGCGUAGAGAUCCGGAAGAACACCAGUGGCGAAGGCGGUCGGCUGGGCCAGCAUCUUUGGAUGGUCGGGGCAACCCGAUACUGACGCUGAGGCGCGACAGCGUGGGGAGCAAACAGGAUUAGAUACCCUGGUAGUCCACGCCGUAAACGAUGGGCACUAGGUCCUUGGGGGAGCGACCCCGUGAGGGCCGACGCUAACGCAUGAAGUGCCCCGCCUGGGGAGUACGGCCGCAAGGCUGAA
This 359-nucleotide ribosomal RNA is filed under the name uncultured bacterium. RNAcentral's name for it is "bacterial SSU rRNA". It matches the Rfam family "Bacterial small subunit ribosomal RNA", at positions 568 to 898 of the family's 1533-position model. The record is from RNAcentral.